AUUGAACGCUGGCGGCAGGCCUAACACAUGCAAGUCGAGCGGAUGAAGGGAGCUUGCUCCUGGAUUCAGCGGCGGACGGGUGAGUAAUGCCUAGGAAUCUGCCUGGUAGUGGGGGAUAACGUCCGGAAACGGGCGCUAAUACCGCAUACGUCCUGAGGGAGAAAGUGGGGGAUCUUCGGACCUCACGCUAUCAGAUGAGCCUAGGUCGGAUUAGCUAGUUGGUGGGGUAAAGGCCUACCAAGGCGACGAUCCGUAACUGGUCUGAGAGGAUGAUCAGUCACACUGGAACUGAGACACGGUCCAGACUCCGACGGGAGGCAGCAGUGGGGAAUAUUGGGCGAUGGGCGAAAGCCGGAUCCAGCCAUGCCGCGUGUGUGAAGAAGGUCUUCGGAUUGUAAAGCACUUUAAGUUGGGAGGAAGGGCAGUAAGUUAAUACCUUGCUGUUUUGACGUUACCAACAGAAUAAGCACCGGCUAACUUCGUG
Molecule: ribosomal RNA, 484 nt
Filed under: uncultured bacterium
Lineage: Bacteria
Description: partial 16S ribosomal RNA
Rfam family: Bacterial small subunit ribosomal RNA
Source: RNAcentral